Molecule: long non-coding RNA, 548 nt
Organism: Homo sapiens (human)
Lineage: Eukaryota; Metazoa; Chordata; Mammalia; Primates; Hominidae
Gene: WASH5P
Product: WASP family homolog 5, pseudogene
Source: Ensembl
AUUCUAGGCACUUCACAAAACUGGACUCAUACGAUAUCUGUAGUUUUGCGUCUGGCUUCUCUAUUGAAUUCUUAAAGGGGGGUGGGAACUAAGCAGAUCACAAGGGAGCUGCCCACAGAGGUAAAGACAAGGUCAGGUAGGCUGAGAGACGCAGGAAAGCGGGUCAAGGCGUAGGGCUGGAGGGCAGGGGCGGGCCCUGGGCGUGGGCUGGGGGUCCUGCCCCGGGGCGCACCCCGGGCGAGGGCUGCCCGGAGGAGCCGAGGUUGGCGGACAGCUUGGCCCUGAGCUUGAGGGGAAGGCAGCGAUGGGACAAAGGACGGAGGUCUAGGAAGAGGGUCUGCAGAGCAGAAAGCACGGGUAGGGGCGGCCUGACGCUCGGAAGACAACGCAUGGGAGCCGUGUGCACGUCGGGAGCUCGGAGUGAGCGCACCAUGACUCCUGUGAGGAUGCAGCACUCCCUGGCAGGUCAGACCUAUGCCGUGCCCUUCAUCCAGCCAGACCUGCGGCGAGAGGAGGCCGUCCAGCAGAUGGCGGAUGCCCUGCAGUAC